GACGAACGCUGGCGGCGUGCUUAACACAUGCAAGUCGAACGAUGAAGCCCAGCUUGCUGGGUGGAAGAGUGGCGAACGGGUGAGUAACACGUGAGUAACCUGCCCUGAACUCUGGGAUAAGCACUGGAAACGGUGUCUAAUACUGGAUACGACCUAUCACCGCAUGGUGUGUGGGUGGAAAGAUUUAUCGGUUCUGGAUGGACUCGCGGCCUAUCAGCUAGAUGGUGAGGUAAUGGCUCACCAUGGCGACGACGGGUAGCCGGCCUGAGAGGGUGACCGGCCACACUGGGACUGAGACACAGCCCAGACUCCUACGGGAGGCAGCAGUGGGGAAUAUUGCACAAUGGGCGCAAGCCUGAUGCAGCAACGCCGCGUGAGGGAUGACGGCCUUCGGGUUGUAAACCUCUUUUAGUAGGGAAGAAGCGAAAGUGACGGUACCUGCAGAAAAAGCACCGGCUAACUACGUG
Molecule: ribosomal RNA, 467 nt
Filed under: uncultured bacterium
Lineage: Bacteria
Description: partial 16S ribosomal RNA
Rfam family: Bacterial small subunit ribosomal RNA
Source: RNAcentral